AGAGAUCUAUCAAUUACAGUGUUAAGGUUUCCUACUCUAUUGGCUACAGCUGUGGGCUUCUGCGCCUAGAGGUCCCCUUCACCUGUCUGGUGCUUCCUGCUGCGUUCCUUUAUAUUUAAGAGUGAAUCACUAUUCCAAGGACGUGGAAGCAACCUAGAUGUCCAUCAACAGAUGAAUGGAUAAAGAAGUUGUGGCAAGGGCUCUGCUGGUCCCAGGAGCAGCCAGGAGAAGGGAUGGGAUGAAGGAUGUUAGUCACCUUGACGACUCCCUUUAGGCUGUUGAAAAUCAUCAUCACGACAAAGGGAUCCAGAGUCCGCCCACUCCACCGGCAGCUGCGUGCACGGUUUGUUCAGAUAAAUUACUUGCCAAGCUAGAGCUGAAAGCUGAAACAUGUGACUAUUCAAAAAACAGAUGCAAAAGGACAACAGAGGUGAAUGAGAACUACUCAAAGUCCAAACCUUGGCGGUUCUCUUUCUUCUGGAAGAACAACCAACAACUGUCGUUAGACAUUCACCAAGUCAUUUUGCACGAUCCAAUUAAAGAACAAGUACUGGUUUGAAAUGGUUAAAACAUAACCGUAAGAGGGAGAUGAAAGCAAAGUUCAAGGGAGCCUAUGCGUCUCCCUUGUCUUCCUCGAAGGCGUCCUAGACUGGGGUCUUGCGGGAAGCGCCACUCGGGCUGCGCACGUGGGGCGGCUCUUCACGCGAGCAUCUUCCUUAGAGACCGCAAUGGAAAGUCCACCUCGGGUCCUUCUCUCCCAACAUUUCAAGUUCCAACAUAUUUCUCCCCACCUUGCCCUCCCAAUACAAUUUCGGCCAGUUCCUAAUCAACUCCAGUCUCAUCAGUCGUUCUUCUCUGCCUCCGAGUAGGGAGAGAAGAGAAUAGCAGGUGCUUUUCCUCUGGGCGCACCCCGCUCCCACAGACCCCGCGCCGAACUCGGGAAAGUUGGGGUGGCCGCCUCCCUUCCCGGGCUCGGCGGCUUCUUCCAGGAGGGGCGCGGAUGGGGUGUAGAAAGCGAGCUCGCAGGGAAAGUCCUGCAGCGGAAACAUCCCUGGCUGCCCCUGGGCGCAGAGAGGCACAGGUGCUUUUUCUCCGACGUCCGAGAGCCGCGCCCGCUGCGCCGGGCCCACGAUCGCGCCCCCUGCGCGGGCUCCCGCUC
Long non-coding RNA from Bos taurus (domestic cattle), 1159 nucleotides. NCBI's taxonomy places the organism in Eukaryota, Metazoa, Chordata, Mammalia, Artiodactyla, Bovidae. The record is from Ensembl.